CACUAUUCAACAAUUAUGGAAGGCACCCUUUAGUGUAUUAACCUUAUGAAGGACUUUACAGGUCUCGUGGCUGAAGCGCAUAUUGCAGUAUUCAUUUGAGACUGGGUCAGGAUAUAAUAUAUUGUUUACUCUUAUUGUUCAUUCUUUAUGGUAUGAAGUGAUGUACUAUAGAUUGUAUCCAGCUUUUUUUUCUUUAAAUUUGUUAUUUUUGCGUGCAAGAAAAGAGCAGUUACAUAUGCGUUUGUAAUGCCCCAAGAGCAUGUACUCACAAUCUAACAGUAGUAUCCAGCUUUUUUGAUACUGAAUUAACUUGUGUAUAAUAUACAUUUUAAAAAAAUAAACAAUUUUGAGCAUCGAUUUUUGGAGUGCGGUAUCAUUCUCUAUGUUUUGGUAAGAAAGUGAGAAACAUGGAAAGAUGGGAAAGUGGGCAAGUAAGUUGAGGCAGGUGACUCUGGAAGAAGCAGCAUGUGACAGAAAGAGGUGGUAAGGAGGAGGAGAGGGAAUGUAUGUAGAGAAACUAAAUAGCUAUAUGGCUGACAAAGAAGGAUGUAUACUAACAUGGGAGAGGAAAUAUUGAAGGUAGUUUGCCAUGAGAAUGAGGUGGAGGUUUACUGCCAUGAAAACGUGAGGAGCGAGGAGAAGUUGACAAAUAGACACAAGAUUAUACAGAAGGCAGAGGACCAAGAAGACAUAAUGACUGGAAGAUUGAAAUUCCCAGCUCUAUCACUUAUAAGAAGCAUAUAGGUCCUUCUUAAACAUCUCUGUGGGAAGGUGGCUUACUGGCUUGAUCUUUACAUUAUCAUAAUAUACUGAACAUUCUGUACAUUCUAAUGUAAUUAAAAUGUUCCAUUCUACAGAUUUCUAAACCAGAGCAUCUAAUGAGAAAAAUGUGAUAACAUGGUAAGCUAGAGAGUUAACUUGCAAGAAGAAGAGACUGAAAUGGGGUAACUAGAAGAGUAUUCUCAAAUCUCAGUCCCUAUACCCUAUUGAAAAACUGCUCUACUAGUAUGUGGUGACAAAUUGCCAGUCCUAGAGCAUAAAAACGAACCUAUGCAAAAUAAUAAAUCUUUAUUGGUCCCUCUUAAGGGUUAGACAACUCAUAGUGAAAAAAGGUGUAUGUACAGUAAAGUGCAAAUUAAAAAUACGUUAAAGGAAAUAAAGACCUACUGAUAAUUCUGCUAGCUAUGCAAGCAUCACACCAUAUCGACUAGAUAUUUCAUGAAUAGUUACAGUAUUUUAUAAACUGCUGCUAGUAACUCUUUUGCAACAGUGUAUCAAUAGCUGAUAUUGUUUAGCUGUGUAUCUAGGGGAGAAAAAGUAACCACUGUGAUAGAUGGCUCCAAAAAACUGUAUCCCACGCUCAAUAAUAUAGCAAUAUUGCCCAAGUAUGUGCAAAUAAGAGCGGGUAAAUACGGAGUCCUAAUAUGGUAUCUCUAGGUUAGGGGAACUACAGAUCAUCAGGGUAGUAUGGAGAUUAUAUCAGAGUAUUUGGGAACAAAUAAUAAACGGCAGCGUUGCUCGAACCAAUAAUGUGGUCGAGAUACUAGCCGUAACAGUUGUCAUAAAGCCCCAAUUAUAACACUCAGUAAAUCCCCCACACUAUAGUUAGAUAAAAGUAGUCUUAAUAUAAUGAGACGGGCAAUAGCAGAGUGUAGCCAGA
This is a non-coding RNA of Pelobates cultripes (western spadefoot toad), 1660 nucleotides long. NCBI's taxonomy places the organism in Eukaryota, Metazoa, Chordata, Amphibia, Anura, Pelobatidae. The record is from the annotation of a GenBank genome assembly.